Long non-coding RNA from Pezoporus occidentalis (night parrot), 702 nucleotides. RefSeq lists it as uncharacterized. The record is from RefSeq and is a predicted model, not a curated record. The transcript has 4 exons. Lineage: Eukaryota; Metazoa; Chordata; Aves; Psittaciformes; Psittacidae.
CAACAUUGUUCUCCGACUAAAUCCAAAACUCAGCAUUGUGCCAACUACUAGGAAGAAAAUUAACUCUAUUCCAGCUGAAACCAGGAUAACAGUGGUGUUCACGACUAAAUCUUGCAGCCAGCACAUGGAUUAAUUCAAGGUGAAAUCUUUAGCAGUACAAAAUACAGACUGUAUUUGCAGCUAGAUAUGUCUAAAGAGUAAUAUGAAAAAUAUUUUUAGCUCCCACUCAUCUUUGCUGAGGAAGCCGCAGGAAACUUGCUGAAUCUGCAGCUCCAGGAUAACAGCUUUGCAGCUUGGCAUUCAUAUAUUCUAGGACUAGCCAGGACCAGAGAAAAAGCAAAUGAGAGCUUCCUUCAGAGAUGAUGAACACUUGUGCCUUUCUGCAGGAGAAUGGUCAGGAAUGCCCGGAAUUCAAAAGAUGAGACAUCUAUGGCAGCAAGAGCCUGGGAAGCAAACAAACUGUGCUUCACAUCACUCCAGUAAUUCAGUAUUCACAGCAGACUGAGAUCCAGCAAUUGAGCUGAGCUGAACUGACUGAUGUCCUAUGCUGUGCCUGAAGCAAGAGGUUGCAUGAACAGUUCCUCAUCAACCCUGGGACCAACCCAUGUGUGAGAUAAGGACCUCCAGGGAUGCACGAUCUUUCCUCCCUCCCUGCUGAACAUAUCUUUUUCUCAGAGAAAACAAGCAGAUGAACUUGUCUGA